UCUGUCUAGAGUGUUUUAAUCACAUGCAAGGCUGAAAGUCAAGGGAGGUAAGCAGCCCCUGCAGCCAGGAAUUUUUUACCUGCCUGGGGAGGCUGGAGAGGGAGAUUAGUGGGCUGCUGAACAUUUCAGGCAAAGCAGCUAGCAGAGCCCAGAGACACAAGAGGGAAGUUUCUGCAAGUUACAUGUCAGCUUUGGAGGAAAUGCAGUCUCCUUUUCACUGCAAAGAAGCUCCUUCCUCAAGGGGAAAGAGACAAUUAGGUUUCAGACUUGGUUAUGGACUGAAUGUUUGUGUCUCCCUAAAUUCAUAUGUCGAAGUCCUAACACUAAUUGAUCGUGUUAGGAGAUGGGACCUUUGGAUGUGACUAGAUGUAGAUGAGAUCAUGAGGGUUGAGGCCCCAUGAUGAGAUUAAUGCCCUUAUAAGAAGAGAAAGAGAGACCAGAGUUCUCUUUCUAUCAUAUGAGGAUACAGUGAGAAGGUGGCCAUCUGCAAGCCAGGAAGAGAGCCCUCACCAGUAAUUGAAUCUACUGGAACCUUGGUCUCAGACUUCCCAGCCUCUGG
This 559-nucleotide long non-coding RNA is filed under the name Homo sapiens (human). RNAcentral's name for it is "HSALNT0381497". Lineage: Eukaryota; Metazoa; Chordata; Mammalia; Primates; Hominidae. The record is from RNAcentral.